Molecule: non-coding RNA, 257 nt
Organism: Pelobates cultripes (western spadefoot toad)
Lineage: Eukaryota; Metazoa; Chordata; Amphibia; Anura; Pelobatidae
Source: the annotation of a GenBank genome assembly
GGCAGUUAUUUUGCGCCUUGGUUUUUCUACACGCUUCUUGCGACCCUGUUGACUAUUUUGAAUGAAACGCUUGAUUGUGCGAUGAUCACGCUUCAGAAGCUUUGCAAUUUUAAGAGUGCUGCAUCCCUCUGCAAGAUAUCUCACUAUUUUUGACUUUUCUGAGCCUGUCAAGUCCUUCUUUUGACCCAUUUUGCCAAAGGAAAGGAAGUUGCCUUAUAAUUAUGCACACCUGAUAUAGGGUGUUGAUGUCAUUAGAC